This 444-nucleotide ribosomal RNA is filed under the name uncultured bacterium. RNAcentral describes it as "bacterial SSU rRNA". It matches the Rfam family "Bacterial small subunit ribosomal RNA", at positions 355 to 796 of the family's 1533-position model. The record is from RNAcentral.
UGAGGAAUAUUGGUCAAUGGACGCAAGUCUGAACCAGCCAUGCCGCGUGAAGGAUGAAGGCGUUCUGCGUUGUAAACUUCUUUUAUCUGGGAAGAAACCACUUUUUUCUAAGAGUGUUGACGGUACCAGAGGAAUAAGCACCGGCUAACUCCGUGCCAGCAGCCGCGGUAAUACGGAGGGUGCAAGCGUUAUCCGGAUUCACUGGGUUUAAAGGGUGUGUAGGCGGGCUAUUAAGUCCGAGGUGAAAUCUCCGAGCUUAACUCGGAAACUGCCUUGGAUACUAUUAGUCUUGAAUAUCGUUGAGGUUGGCGGAAUAUGUCAUGUAGCGGUGAAAUGCUUAGAUAUGACAUAGAACACCGAUUGCGAAGGCAGCUGGCUAAACGAUAAUUGACGCUGAGGCACGAAAGCGUGGGGAUCAAACAGGAUUAGAUACCCCUGUAGUCC